CCUAAAAUACUGAAGCAAGCAGUAAACCCCUGUUUCUCUCUCUCUCUCUCUCUGUCUCUCUCUCUCUACCCUCUCUGUCCGUGGCCGCACCCCUCCUCCAAGGACACCCUAUCCGUUCAUCUGCCUGUCCAUCUGUUCGCUUCCGUUUGAUCCUCGAUUCUCUGAACCCUAAAAUACGAUGCAUCUUUCCCAAUCCUAGCCUUCAGAUCUCGAUCGCCGGCAUCUGGAUUAGAGCAUGUGAGUAGAGAUGGGGUCUCGAAAACCAGCGGCAUCUCUGUGGUUAUGAAUGGUCUAUUUUGAGAAUUUUACGACAAAUGGGUUGUUUACUCUUAUGUGGGAUGAGUGUUGUGAUGGACUUACUCAGAACGUUAAAAGGUUUCAAAUUCCGUCCAUCUUGACCCGGUACUAUUUGACAUAAAGCGAGACCUUCUCACCCCAACCUACAAGAAGAAGCGGGAACAAUUGCUCAAAUAUUACCAGACUAAAGAAGAAAAAACAUCACAACAGAAACAUAAUUUUGAGGAGCGACUCUUGGAAGUUGCACAUUUACGCUCAUAGGUGCAAAGAAAGUAGAUUUUUCUCAAGAAAAUCAAGCAAUCAAGGGGCGAAAGCGUGAAGUUGAGAGAUCCAGACAGGAACUUGGUACAUAUAUGAACCUUUGGUGUUUGGAGAAUCUGUUCUAAAUGAUGCAUGAAGAGGAAAAUGAGAAGGCUACCUGUGGGGGCCAGUAGUUAACAUACACCCAGCAGUUUUCUCCUGAGUUGGAGCAGGUGGAAGAUGGUGGAUGUUGGCAACAGGAAAGCCUUCCUAAUAACUAAUAUAAGGAUGAGUUGAUGAAUGAGGAUGUUUGUUUAUCUCCCUCUGGCACAUAUCUUUGAUCGGGUGAUUGAGGAGUUGUUUAUUUGUCAUGGUGCCUUGAUAGGAUUUUGGCGUGGGACUAAAGAAGAAAAAACAUCACAACAAAAGCGUAAUUUUGAGAAGCAACUCUUGGAAGUUGAACAUUUACGGUCACAGCUACUCUACCAAAGAACAUGAAGACAACGGGAUAUGAAAUAAUUAACGAAGGUAAGGAAAACAUUUUACUUUUGAACUUUGCCUGCUAUUUUUUUUGCUUACAAGAAUUGUACCUUGCAUUAGGCAAUCAAUAAGCCAAAUUAUCAUGUGGGCUUUGGCUCCUGACUUGAAUGGGUUGGGCUUGGGUCUAAUAUAGACCCAUUGACAG
This is a long non-coding RNA of Magnolia sinica, 1222 nucleotides long. RefSeq lists it as uncharacterized. NCBI's taxonomy places the organism in Eukaryota, Viridiplantae, Streptophyta, Magnoliopsida, Magnoliales, Magnoliaceae. The record is from RefSeq and is a predicted model, not a curated record. The transcript has 11 exons.